RNAcentral lists this long non-coding RNA (892 nucleotides) under Sorghum bicolor (sorghum). RNAcentral's name for it is "long non-coding RNA (SBIC_LNC003560)". Lineage: Eukaryota; Viridiplantae; Streptophyta; Magnoliopsida; Poales; Poaceae. The record is from RNAcentral.
AAGCAUAAACCCUAAUAAUUCUAUAACUAAGUUGUACAUGAUUCAAUGAGUAUAAAAUUUUUACUACAGUUUGAUUAGGGUAUAAUAAAAAUUUUACCACAAUUGGUCCAUAGAAACUACAGUUAUGAAUUUUUUUAAUUAAUUAUAGAAAAUAAUAUAUCAAAAUCUAUAGCAAAAAUGUUAUGCUAAAGCAUAUCAUUCAUUGUGUAGAUCUAUUCAUGUGGAUUCCAACAAAUUUAGACUUUCUAUUUUAUAAUUUUUCUAUUAUUUACUAUGAUUUUUCAAAGGUUUAGCCAAAAUAGAUAAAAAAAAGAAAAAGAUAAAACCGCUUUCAAAAAUCACUUAUAACUGGGCCAAGGCCUUGUUUAGAUACACCCAAAAACCCAAAACUUUACAAGAUUCUCCGUCACAUCGAAUCUUACGGCACAUGCAUGAAGUAUUAAAUAUAAAUAAAAAUAAUAACUAAUUGCACAGUUUAACUGUAAAUCACGAGACGAAUCUUUUAAGACUAGUUACUCCAUAAUUAGACAAUAUUUAUCAAAUAAAAACGAAAAUGCCACAGUGUCAAAAUCCAAAAAUCUUUUGUAUCUAAACAAGGCCCAAGAAGGUAAAAUACACAGUUUUAAAAAUUGAUGGAGGUGGUUGUCCAAUUUUUGAGUUCACAGAGAAAAACGGACUUUCGCAAAUGUUGAGAGAGAAAAAAUGCACUUUUUUCCCCACUUGGCAGAGCGGGCUGACUAUCGUAAAAAAAAAAAGGCCUCCUCGAAGCAGCCCAGCAGGACGACGAAAGUCGUGCGGAACAGGCGGUGGGCCGAUUCGUCGGCACCACAAAAGUACUAGUGAGGAAGGAAACCCCAUCUCCUAAUCUCCAACACACAGCGAAGGCCGAUGC